Molecule: ribosomal RNA, 486 nt
Filed under: uncultured bacterium
Lineage: Bacteria
Description: partial 16S ribosomal RNA
Rfam family: Bacterial small subunit ribosomal RNA
Source: RNAcentral
AUUGAACGCUGGCGGCAUGCCUUACACAUGCCAGUCGAACGGCAGCACGGGUGCUUGCACCUGGUGGCGAGUGGCGAACGGGUGAGUAAUACAUCGGAACAUGUCCUGUAGUGGGGGAUAGCCCGGCGAAAGCCGGAUUAAUACCGCAUACGAUCUACGGAUGAAAGCGGGGGACCUUCGGGCCUCGCGCUAUAGGGUUGGCCGAUGGCUGAUUAGCUAGUUGGUGGGGUAAAGGCCUACCAAGGCGUCGAUCAGUAGCUGGUCUGAGAGGACGACCAGCCACACUGGGACUGAGACACGGCCCAGACUCCUACGGGAGGCAGCAGUGGGGAAUUUUGGACAAUGGGCGAAAGCCUGAUCCAGCAAUGCCGCGUGUGUGAAGAAGGCCUUCGGGUUGUAAAGCACUUUUGUCCGGAAAGAAAUCCUUGGCCCUAAUACGGUCGGGGGAUGACGGUACCGGAAGAAUAAGCACCGGCUAACUACGUG